RNAcentral lists this long non-coding RNA (576 nucleotides) under Gallus gallus (chicken). RNAcentral's name for it is "long non-coding RNA NONGGAT009395". The record is from RNAcentral. Lineage: Eukaryota; Metazoa; Chordata; Aves; Galliformes; Phasianidae.
GGCCGGGUCUGGUAGGCGGCCACGGGCGGCUGGUUGGGCCCAGGGUACAGCCCGCGGGGCGUCGGGGGCGGCCGGGGCGCCCGGGGCUGCUUGGUGGGCUUGGGCUGCUUGUUGGACGUUUUGUACUCAACCGAGGAAGCGGUGAAAUGGAAGGAGGACAGCAUGGAGGAGGGCUUGGUGGGCCACGCGUUCUCCUUGCUGGAGGACAGCUGGGGGAUGCCCAGGCUGGCUUCCACCUCGGAGUCGGACAGCAUGGGGCACAGCUUGCUCCGCUUGAUUUCCCGCAGGUCCUUGCCGUGGAAGUGGAAGGGGGUCUCGCAGGUGAUGUCCCCCACCAAGGCGGUGUAGGGGAUGCGCUCCAGCCAGCUCUUCAGCUGCACGAUCUCACACGUGCAGUUCCACGGGUUCUCCUCCAGCUGAAUCUCCAUCAGGCUCCUGCCAAUGUGGUCCAACAUCCCGCGGUACGAGAGCACUUUCAACCUGUUCCCGCGCAAGUCCAAGUGGGUUAAAGACACGGACUUAAAUAGAUAUUCCAGACUUUCCAAACCCAGGAAAGUGUCGUUUCUGAAAAUGUCC